RNAcentral lists this ribosomal RNA (273 nucleotides) under Klebsiella pneumoniae. RNAcentral's name for it is "partial 16S ribosomal RNA". It matches the Rfam family "Bacterial small subunit ribosomal RNA", at positions 474 to 746 of the family's 1533-position model. Lineage: Bacteria; Pseudomonadati; Pseudomonadota; Gammaproteobacteria; Enterobacterales; Enterobacteriaceae. The record is from RNAcentral.
GUUACCCGCAGAAGAAGCACCGGCUAACUCCGUGCCAGCAGCCGCGGUAAUACGGAGGGUGCAAGCGUUAAUCGGAAUUACUGGGCGUAAAGCGCACGCAGGCGGUCUGUCAAGUCGGAUGUGAAAUCCCCGGGCUUAACCUGGGAACUGCAUUCGAAACUGGCAGGCUAGAGUCUUGUAGAGGGGGGUAGAAUUCCAGGUGUAGCGGUGAAAUGCGUAGAGAUCUGGAGGAAUACCGGUGGCGAAGGCGGCCCCCUGGACAAAGACUGACGC